RNAcentral lists this ribosomal RNA (20 nucleotides) under Inocybe albofloccosa. Its description in RNAcentral is "partial small subunit ribosomal RNA". Lineage: Eukaryota; Fungi; Basidiomycota; Agaricomycetes; Agaricales; Inocybaceae. The record is from RNAcentral.
ACCUGCGGAAGGAUCAUUUU